GAUGAACGCUAGCGGCAGGCUUAACACAUGCAAGUCGAGGGGCAGCGGGGAGGAAGCUUGCUUUCUCCGCCGGCGACCGGCGCACGGGUGAGUAACACGUAUCCAACCUGCCUCAUACUCGGGGAUAGCCUUUCGAAAGAAAGAUUAAUACCCGAUGUUAUAGUCCUACCGCAUGAUGGGAUUAUUAAAGAAUUUCGGUAUGGGAUGGGGAUGCGUUCCAUUAGUUAGUUGGCGGGGUAACGGCCCACCAAGACAACGAUGGAUAGGGGUUCUGAGAGGAAGGUCCCCCACAUUGGAACUGAGACACGGUCCAA
This 314-nucleotide ribosomal RNA is filed under the name uncultured bacterium. RNAcentral describes it as "bacterial SSU rRNA". It matches the Rfam family "Bacterial small subunit ribosomal RNA", at positions 28 to 334 of the family's 1533-position model. The record is from RNAcentral.